AAUUAAAAAAAAAAAAAAUUUCUUCCGCAUUUACAGGCAGAAAGCCCUCCGAUAACUUAACGAACUGUUUCAGAACGAUUAAUUCAGACACCAAAAAGUGCAUCUAAUCCACCAAAUUAAGCAACACUUUUUAAGUUUUAUAGUCUACCUAUGAAGUACUAAUCAAGAAAAAUCAUAUUAAAAUUAAAGAAAGGAAAUAACAAUACCCCAUGAGAUUAAUGCGAAG
This 226-nucleotide unclassified non-coding RNA is filed under the name Hevea brasiliensis (rubber tree). Lineage: Eukaryota; Viridiplantae; Streptophyta; Magnoliopsida; Malpighiales; Euphorbiaceae. The record is from RNAcentral.